UUCGCCACUGAUUGUCCAAACGCAAUUCUUGUACGAGUCUGCGGCCAACCGAGAAUUGUGGCUGGACAUCUGUGGUUGA
Molecule: non-coding RNA, 79 nt
Organism: Heterocephalus glaber (naked mole-rat)
Lineage: Eukaryota; Metazoa; Chordata; Mammalia; Rodentia; Bathyergidae
Source: Rfam